This 402-nucleotide ribosomal RNA is filed under the name uncultured bacterium. Its description in RNAcentral is "bacterial SSU rRNA". It matches the Rfam family "Bacterial small subunit ribosomal RNA", at positions 358 to 774 of the family's 1533-position model. The record is from RNAcentral.
GGGAUAUUGGACAAUGGGGGAAACCCUGAUCCAGCGACGCCGCGUGAGUGAAGAAGUAUUUCGGUAUGUAAAGCUCUAUCAGCAGGGAAGAAAGAAAUGACGGUACCUGAGUAAGAAGCCCCGGCUAACUACGUGCCAGCAGCCGCGGUAAUACGUAGGGGGCAAGCGUUAUCCGGAAUUACUGGGUGUAAAGGGAGCGUAGACGGUAAUGCAAGUCUGGAGUGAAAGGCGGGGGCCCAACCCCCGGACUGCUCUGGAAACUGUGUAACUGGAGUGCAGGAGAGGCAGGCGGAAUUCCUAGUGUAGCGGUGAAAUGCGUAGAUAUUAGGAGGAACACCGGUGGCGAAGGCGGCCUGCUGGACUGCAACUGACGUUGAGGCCCGAAAGCGUGGGGAGCAAACA